Molecule: transfer RNA, 85 nt
Filed under: Felis catus (domestic cat)
Lineage: Eukaryota; Metazoa; Chordata; Mammalia; Carnivora; Felidae
Rfam family: tRNA
About the family: Transfer RNA (tRNA) molecules are approximately 80 nucleotides in length. Their secondary structure includes four short double-helical elements and three loops (D, anti-codon, and T loops). Further hydrogen bonds mediate the characteristic L-shaped molecular structure. tRNAs have two regions of fundamental functional importance: the anti-codon, which is responsible for specific mRNA codon recognition, and the 3' end, to which the tRNAs corresponding amino acid is attached (by aminoacyl-tRNA synthetases). tRNAs cope with the degeneracy of the genetic code in two manners: having more than one tRNA (with a specific anti-codon) for a particular amino acid; and 'wobble' base-pairing, i.e. permitting non-standard base-pairing at the 3rd anti-codon position.
Source: Rfam by way of RNAcentral
GCCUGGGUGGCUCAGUUGGUUGAGCGUCUGACUUUGGCUCAGGUCAUGAUCUCACGGUUCGUGGGUUCGAGCCCCACGUGGGGCU